Molecule: ribosomal RNA, 280 nt
Filed under: Pinalitus oromii
Lineage: Eukaryota; Metazoa; Arthropoda; Insecta; Hemiptera; Miridae
Description: partial 16S ribosomal RNA
Source: RNAcentral
GAAAAAUAUACUUUCUUUAUUUUAUAUAAAUAAAUUAAUUUUUUAGUUAAAAAGCUAAGAUUUUUUUAUAGGACGAGAAGACCCUAUAGAACUUUAUUUUCUACAUAUAUAUAUUUUAUAGAUUUUUAAAAUAUUAUAUAUUAAUAGUUAAUUUAAUUGGGGUGAUUGAAAAAAUUAUAUAACUUUUUCUAUUUCUAUCAUUUAUUUAUGAUGUUUUUGAUCCUUUAAUAUGGAAAAUAAGAUUAAGUUACCUUAGGGAUAACAGCGUUAUUUUUUUGGA